RNAcentral lists this long non-coding RNA (259 nucleotides) under Panax ginseng (ginseng). Its description in RNAcentral is "long non-coding RNA (PGIN_LNC016157)". Lineage: Eukaryota; Viridiplantae; Streptophyta; Magnoliopsida; Apiales; Araliaceae. The record is from RNAcentral.
GUGGAAGCUGGGUGGUUCUGAGGUACCAUCCCCUAGGCUUUCAGUGGCCUAUGGAAGUAGCAUGUCGGGGUGAAGAAGGUGGCUCCAUACCCGGGAAUGUGGGGUGUUUGGUUUGCGCAAAAGACAAAAGGAAAGACGGGGGCGAGCAAGCCCUCUUUUUCCGGAAGAAGGUCGACCCUUACUCUAUUUCCUCAAAGGAAGAAAUAGUCGGGUCGGAGAGAGACAGCCUACCCUCAUUUUGUGGGGAGCUACAGUGCUU